Long non-coding RNA from Actinia tenebrosa (Australian red waratah sea anemone), 563 nucleotides. The record is from RefSeq and is a predicted model, not a curated record. Lineage: Eukaryota; Metazoa; Cnidaria; Anthozoa; Actiniaria; Actiniidae.
CAGGAGAAAAAGGCUACGACAAAGGCUUCUGUCGGCAGUGAUGAAAAGAAGGGCCUUCGAGCUCCCUGUGGAUUUUCCGAAAGCUGCACGAGAAGACGUUCGAGUAGGCGGCGCAAAAGUUUUUGGGGCAAGAAGAGCCAAGACAACCAACAAACAGCCCACAGCUCGUUUGCACAGGACGAUUUCGAUCAAGUUGUGUCAUACAUCACAAAACUGGCAAAAGAAAUCAAAAAUGAAAAGAAAAACAAGGAAUAAUUCAAACAGCUCUAAAAGGAAGGGCUUUUUUAAUUUUUUCGACUUCUGCUGAAUGUAAAAUUCUUUUUUGUGAGGUUUUAUAAUUACAAUACCAAAUAAGCAUGUUCUUUUUUAAAAAUUAAAAACAUUUUUGACUAUGCACCACAAGACCGGCGGGACGCCGUGCAACAUUGAGCCGUAUCACUAACCAAGAAGGGAUAGGAUCAAUCAGGUUUGGCAUAUAUAUCAGCCAGUACUGAUGGAGUAGUUGUGUCAUUAUGAGUGCAAUUAUAUAACGAUUAAAAAUUAAAGAUUAUCUUAAAAAUGCA